UGUAUUACUGUAAUUAAUUAACAAACUAGAGAAAAGAAAGAAAUUAAAAGAAGCAACAUCAAUUCGAAAAGCAGACAGGGAAAAAGGUUGCAGGUAAAAGUCACUAUCCAAAUAUGACUGUUCAAAGUCCUAAGGUACGCUUGAAGGGAAGCAAGAAGAUAAGACACAGCUUGAUCAAAAAUCAGCUGUCUGAUACUUUAAACUCCAUGGCUUUGAUCAAACUGCCUUUUGCGGAACAAAGCAGACCCUUCUAUGUCUCUCUCUCUCUGUCAUAUCCAUCCAUUUUUUUCUUUAUCUUCACUGAAAAUUCCCAUUUCCUCCAAAAGAUUGGCUUGUCUGCGCUGUAAUAUUUCUCUCCGAAUCCACGGAGCAGCUUAUGUCUAUGCUUGGCUGCCGUGGCUGCUGCAGCUGUUGAUGUUUAUCUCUUUGCGAAAACCCUCCACUCAUGCUUCUCACAAUUUGUCCUACCCCAAGAAAAUCCCUGGUCAAUCUAUCAGACCCUCCAAUACUUACGUUCAGACCCUGAUGCAACUUCGCUUCCUCCUUGUUUCCACUGUAGGGGUUUUGUUGUCCAUGCCCAGAAGCGGAAAGGGAUGAAUUCCCAGUAGCAACUGAGUUCAUUAGGUCA
RNAcentral lists this unclassified non-coding RNA (628 nucleotides) under Hevea brasiliensis (rubber tree). The record is from RNAcentral. Lineage: Eukaryota; Viridiplantae; Streptophyta; Magnoliopsida; Malpighiales; Euphorbiaceae.